GUCAUGGCCCAGUGGCUGAGCAUCUUCUUGGCAUGAAGAAGGUCCUGGGUUCAAUCCCCGUCAUCUCCA
RNAcentral lists this transfer RNA (69 nucleotides) under Sphaerodactylus townsendi. RNAcentral's name for it is "tRNA-Ala". The record is from RNAcentral. Lineage: Eukaryota; Metazoa; Chordata; Lepidosauria; Squamata; Sphaerodactylidae.